This 274-nucleotide ribosomal RNA is filed under the name uncultured bacterium. Its description in RNAcentral is "partial 16S ribosomal RNA". It matches the Rfam family "Bacterial small subunit ribosomal RNA", at positions 523 to 796 of the family's 1533-position model. The record is from RNAcentral.
AUACGGAGGGUGCAAGCGUUAUUCGGAAUCACUGGGCGUAAAGGACGCGUAGGCGGGUUGGCAAGUCAGAUGUGAAAUCCUACAGCUUAACUGUAGAACUGCAUUUGAAACUGCUAACCUAGAGUAUGGGAGGGGGAGAUGGAAUUAGUGGUGUAGGGGUAAAAUCCGUAGAUAUCACUAGGAAUACCGAAAGCGAAGGCGAUCUCCUGGAACAUAAUUGACGCUAAGGCGUGAAAGCGUGGGGAGCAAACAGGAUUAGAAACCCUAGUAGUCC